Molecule: small nuclear RNA, 22 nt
Filed under: Arabidopsis thaliana (thale cress)
Lineage: Eukaryota; Viridiplantae; Streptophyta; Magnoliopsida; Brassicales; Brassicaceae
Description: snRNA_04732
Source: RNAcentral
GAAGUGUUUUGAACUUACAUCG